This 715-nucleotide ribosomal RNA is filed under the name uncultured Bacteroidota bacterium. RNAcentral describes it as "bacterial SSU rRNA". It matches the Rfam family "Bacterial small subunit ribosomal RNA", at positions 126 to 842 of the family's 1533-position model. Lineage: Bacteria; Pseudomonadati; Bacteroidota. The record is from RNAcentral.
CUGCCCGCCACUUGGGGAUAACCUUGCGAAAGUAAGACUAAUACCCAAUGAUAUCUCUAGAAGACAUCUGAAAGAGAUUAAAGAUUUAUCGGUGAUGGAUGGGGAUGCGUCUGAUUAGCUUGUUGGCGGGGCAACGGCCCACCAAGGCAACGAUCAGUAGGGGUUCUGAGAGGAAGGUCCCCCACAUUGGAACUGAGACACGGACCAAACUCCUACGGGAGGCAGCAGUGAGGAAUAUUGGUCAAUGGACGAGAGUCUGAACCAGCCAAGUAGCGUGCAGGAUGACGGCCCUAUGGGUUGUAAACUGCUUUUAUAAGGGAAUAAAGUGAGUCUCGUGAGACUUUUUGCAUGUACCUUAUGAAUAAGGACCGGCUAAUUCCGUGCCAGCAGCCGCGGUAAUACGGAAGGUCCGGGCGUUAUCCGGAUUUAUUGGGUUUAAAGGGAGCGUAGGCCGGAGAUUAAGCGUGUUGUGAAAUGUAGACGCUCAACGUCUGCACUGCAGCGCGAACUGGUUUCCUUGAGUACGCACAAAGUGGGCGGAAUUCGUGGUGUAGCGGUGAAAUGCUUAGAUAUCACGAAGAACUCCGAUUGCGAAGGCAGCUCACUGGAGCGCAACUGACGCUGAAGCUCGAAAGUGCGGGUAUCGAACAGGAUUAGAUACCCUGGUAGUCCGCACGGUAAACGAUGGAUGCCCGCUGAUGGUUUGAAUAGGUCU